Molecule: long non-coding RNA, 411 nt
Filed under: Homo sapiens (human)
Lineage: Eukaryota; Metazoa; Chordata; Mammalia; Primates; Hominidae
Description: non-protein coding lnc-PPP1R3D-3:3
Source: RNAcentral
GAAACAUCAGCGGCCAUCCUCACUCCUGCAUGUCUGGCCAUUGGUGCUGCCUGUCAGGUGCUGUGCACGGAGCUCGACUAUCCUGAAUCCACCAUGAUUCGACCUCAUGUCAGUCCUUUGGCUGCCAGCCCAGUUCAACUCCAAGCUGAUGACCAGUGUCGACCGCCAGUCAUUCUGAACAUUUGACCAGUUGAGCUUUCAAAUGAUGGCAGUCCUGGCUGACAUUUUGGGUGAACAAUAUGAGAGACUGACUGGUUGAGCCCUUCCCAAAUUUCUGACCCACAACAUUGUGAGAAAAAUAAUCUUAAGCCUCUCAGUUUGGGGACAAUUUGUUACUCAGCAAUAGAAAUGAAAAUAUGAUCUCAGUAGGACCAUGUGACUUGCAGCAACCAGGGUGACAAUGAACGUCCC